This 990-nucleotide long non-coding RNA is filed under the name Equus asinus (donkey). Its description in RNAcentral is "lncRNA (ENSEASG00005037975.1)". Lineage: Eukaryota; Metazoa; Chordata; Mammalia; Perissodactyla; Equidae. The record is from RNAcentral.
CUCCCUGCUACUUCCUGGUCCCCAGGGGGCCCCUCCCUCGGUCAGCAGAGGGUGAACAGAGGGUGGGCCCCAGGAGCCUGAGACCAGGGCAGCCCCCUGAUGAGAGUGAUGAUCAGCUGCGCUGAUUUGCUGAUGGAAAUUUGCAUACAUCAUGUAAUUUGGGCCGAUCGAGUUGUCGGUUAAGAUGGAAUCCCUUGAUGAGCAACAUGCACUUGGCAGUGACCGAGGAGACAAGAAACCCUGGAGAUGCUGCAGUGGAAACGCGCUCCUGUUUUUGAAGGAGAUGGCCAUUUUCAGAGUCCACGUCUAACAACCCACAUUCCUAAGUCCCCCUUCCCUCCAGGUCACAGCUGGCAUCUGUUGAGAUGAAAAACUUCAUGGCAUGGCUUGCCACACGGUGCAAUGUCCGCAUCCAGGAUCCAAACCGGCGAACCCCGGGCCGUUGAAGUGGAACGUGCGCACUGAACCGCUGCACCGCCAGGCCGGCCCCCAAGUUGACUGAGGUGGGCUGAUCCAGCCUAGGCUUGGCUCCAGGCUGCAGGUUGGAUCCAGAUCUGCUCCACGUGUCUCUCAUCCUCUCUGACCCGCUAGCAAACUAUGGCAUCCUCUUCUACGGUGAUGAUGGAACAGCAAGAGUGAAGGAAGUCAUCUCUGGACAUAGAGUGGGUCCAAGCUACAGAAAAAAAAGGAGAAAAGCUGAGGGCUUUGGAGUGGUUCAGCCCUGGCAGCACGAUAGCAGGCCUCUCAGAGCCUUCUGCUCGUUGUGUUUUCACCUCACCCAGCGGCAGAGGAUUCCCUUAAGGUGCCCUGGACUGGACCCCUCAUGGGGAUUGAGAAGCUGGGGAGUCACAGCCACAUCGUGUUGGUAAAGAUGUGGAGAAACUAGAGCUCUUAUGCACUGUGGGAUCCGCUGUGGGAACGUAAAAUGUGAAUGUCUUUGGAAAACAGUGUGGCAGUUUAAAAAAAUUAAACAUACAUCUAUCACACGAU